AAGGGCACCACAAGAACGCGUGGAGCAUGUGUGUUAAUUUGACUCAACGCGGGAAAUCUUACCGGGUCCGGACACACUGAGGAUUGACAGGUGGUUUAUAUAUCACACUCGCUGUGAUAUAUAUAUAAAUAUGCUAGUUCUUUCAUGAUUAUGUGAUAGGUGGUGCAUGGCCGUUCUUAGUUCGUGGAGUGAUCUGUCUGCUUAAUUGCGUAUCACUAAACGUGUAAUUAUACAUAUGUUAAAUAUGAUAGUGUCUAAUAUACUUUAUGUAUAUAUGACCUCAUAUUUUUACAUAUUAUACACGUUGAUAGCAACGAACGUGACCGUAACCUCUUGUUGCCUGGCUCGAAGACUCGUCUCAGUAUAUAUAUAACUAUAUUUAUACUGUGGAGACCAGAUGCAAACUAGAGGGACCGCUGUAUUCUUUCUUAAACCAGGGGAAGGUUACGGCAAUAACAGGUCUGUGAUGCCCUUAGAUGUUCCGGGCCGCACACGUGCUACAAUGAUUAUUGCAGUGAGCAUCUCGAAUAGACAAAUUCAUCACACACAUAUUAAUGCAUUCAUUAUGUAUUAGUGUUGUGUGUGUGAAUACUGCCUGCUUCGAAAGUUCGCGGGUAAUCAAUUAACAACAAUGAUUUCCAAAACAUAUAUAGCACACAUAUAUGUGAUUAUGCUAUCCACAUAGUCCCUAGUGUCUGUGUCGUGCAUAGCAUAAUUUUUCACAUGUGCAAUUGUCAAUUCAUGGUGGGGACAGACUAUUGUUAAUUAUUAGUCUCGGUCUUAACUAGGAAUGCCUUGUACUGGUUUAGUUCAUCAGACUACCGGGAAUACGUCCCUGCCCUUUGUACACACCGCCCGUCGCUCUUACCGAUGAACUAUACUGUGAGUAUAUUGGACUGUGUUUCUCGCGGAAAAAUACACGAACAGUGUGGUUUAAAGGAAAGAGAAGUCGAACAAGGC
RNAcentral lists this ribosomal RNA (960 nucleotides) under Zaninettia conica. RNAcentral describes it as "bacterial SSU rRNA". It matches the Rfam family "Eukaryotic small subunit ribosomal RNA", at positions 1160 to 1800 of the family's 1831-position model. Lineage: Eukaryota; Foraminifera; Lituolida; Remaneicidae. The record is from RNAcentral.